RNAcentral lists this ribosomal RNA (443 nucleotides) under uncultured bacterium. RNAcentral's name for it is "partial 16S ribosomal RNA". It matches the Rfam family "Bacterial small subunit ribosomal RNA", at positions 338 to 795 of the family's 1533-position model. The record is from RNAcentral.
CCUACGGGAGGCUGCAGUGGGGAAUAUUGGGCAAUGGGCACAAGCCUGACCCAGCAACGCCGCGUGAAGGAAGAAGGCCCUCGGGUUGUAAACUUCUUUUUAUAGGGACGAAGAACGUGACGGUACUUGUUGAAUCCAACUCGGCUAACUACGUGCCAGCAGCCGCGGUAAUACGUAGGUCGCAAGCGUUAUCCGGAUUUACUGGGUGGAAAGGGCGUGUAGGCGGGAUAGGAAGGCAGACGUGAAAUUCCAGGGCUCAACCCUGGAACUGCGAUUGAAAUUGUUCUUCUUGAGUGUAGGAGAGGCAGGCGGAAUUCGGGGUGUAGCGGUGAAAUGCAUAGAUAUACGGAGGAACACCAGUGGCGAAGGCAGCCUGCUGGACAUUAACUGACGCUGAGGCGCGAAAGCGUGGGGAGCAAACAGGAUUAGAUACCCUUGUAGUC